UCCGUCACAGCCAGCUCUGGGGAAGCGGGUCAUUUGACGUGGAAUCAACACCUGCGAAAGGAGGCCAAACUCCUUCAGAGCAUAUUCUAGUUUCACAAACCUCUGUUCCAAGAGACUCACACUAUUCCUAGUUCAUGGAGUCAGAACUCUCCUGGCAAAUAUUUAAUGAUUUUCUCAAAGUGGCAGAGAAAGUCAGGCUCUUCCUGCUUCCUUGAAAUGGCCCUGGCACUGGCUGAAUGAAAAGGGGACCAGCUGCAUGCUGCCUUCCAGGCUGAGAGAAACCCUAGGGACGAGGCAGGGCCUCCACACCCAGCAGGAGAGAACCCACAGGCAGCCGGCCCCCUCCGCCUCUUCCCCCACCCAUUACGGCUCCUCCUAAGGCUUUCCAACAAAAUCGGCCUCCACUCACUUGGGAAGGUUUCCUGGGGCUCCGCAUCAGGGCUCCGGGCGCCCGACCUGCUGGCUUUCUCACCGGGCAGUUUCAGGAGUUGAGCGAGUUACUUGACCUCUCCAUGCCUCCAAUCCUCACCAGUGGAAGAAGGAUAAUAAUAGUAACUCCCUCACGGGGUGCAACCGGGAUGAAGUGAGUUCAUAUUUGCAAAGCGAUUAAAACAGCACUCGGCACACAGUGAGAAACUGUGCUGUAAGAGGUUAUAACCCUGCACCUGGCCAGGGAUGGAGCUGGACCUUGAAACCCAACCUUCUGACCACAAACUGCCCUCAUAUGGCCACACCCUUCCCUCCCCACUGCCACUGCCACCUGAUGGGAGGACCAGGGCAACUCUGGAGAGCACGGAGGGCAGCCACGGCUAAGGCCGGAUGCGGCACUGUUAGGAGGGGUGUAAACUCUCUGCCCUCUGUCUGUCCACAGGCUCAGCUGUUUUCCGUGUUCUUAAAACUUCAGCACAAACAAAAGUAAAUCCCAAACUAUAACACCUCUUCCCCAUAGAACGGCUCAGAAACCAAGCCAGGCCACAGUUUCCUGCCUUGUGGCUGCCAGAUGUAGUCAGUGUUCUAGUGACCAAAUUCACAGCUAAGGUAUUGUCCUUAGAGGACAAUAAAGAGUUAUAACUUAGGAAGAGCAAAGUUCAAGUAAGUCCUGGAGCUAAUUAGAGAACAACCUAAAAAAUAAUAAAUCUCCUUUCACACAUCCUGAUUUCAGGUAAUUGUAUCAA
Molecule: long non-coding RNA, 1175 nt
Organism: Equus quagga
Lineage: Eukaryota; Metazoa; Chordata; Mammalia; Perissodactyla; Equidae
Exons: 3
Source: RefSeq, a predicted model, not a curated record